Molecule: ribosomal RNA, 301 nt
Filed under: uncultured bacterium
Lineage: Bacteria
Description: partial 16S ribosomal RNA
Rfam family: Bacterial small subunit ribosomal RNA
Source: RNAcentral
CAGCAGCCACGGUAAUACGUAGGUGGCAAGCGUUGUCCGGAAUUAUUGGGCGUAAAGGGCUCGCAGGCGGUUUCUUAAGUCUGAUGUGAAAGCCCCCGGCUCAACCGGGGAGGGUCAUUGGAAACUGAGAAACUUGAGUGCAGAAGAGGAGAGUGGAAUUCCACGUGUAGCGGUGAAAUGCGUAGAGAUGUGGAGGAACACCAGUGGCGAAGGCGACUCUCUGGUCUGUAACUGACGCUGAGGAGCGAAAGCGUGGGGAGCGAACAGGAUUAGAUACCCCUGUAGUCCCUGUCUCUUAUAC